UGACCAUGGGAGUGAGUUUUUAAAUGUUCCAGGGCUUGUUUUCCUGAAAGUGUAAAUGUUUUGUUGCUGAUGAGUCACGAGCACCAGCCGUGACUUCCUUCUCUAGGGUCCUUUCCUACAGCUGUGUGACCAGGGUGGGAACAACUAGCCUCUCUGUGCCUCUCUCGCUUCAUCCAGCUUCCUGUCCUCACUAUUGUUCCGUGUCAGUGUGUGCGGCGAUGCUUUAGGAUCUCCACCGGUGUGAUUCCUGGUGUGGUUAACGACACGCGCGAGCAAAUGUGUUUUUCCACUCCGAGGCGCGUGUCCCAGAGAACUCAUCUGUCCACCCAAAAAGCUGUGCACAACUAGGGAUAGAACCAUUAUUCAGAAUGGCUAAAUGGGAGAACCAACCCACAUGUCCAUCAGCCGACGAGUGGAUACAUACAGUGUGGUAUAUUCCUCCGAUGGAAUACUAUCCACCUAUAAAAAAGACUGAGACUGGGAGUUCCUGUUGUGCCUCAGUGGAAACGACCCCGACUGGUAUCCCUGAGGAUUCGGGUUUGAUCUCUGACCUCAAAAUGCAGUAGAUUAAGGAUCCCGCGUUGCCCUGAGCUGUGGUGUAGGUUGCAGACACAGCUUGGAUCUGGCGCUGCCGUGGCUGUGGCCGGCAGCUGCAGCCCUGAUCGGCCCUCUAGCCUGGCAACUUCCAUAUGCCGUGGGUGCGGCCCUAGAAAGAAAAAAAAAAGAAUGAUAUAUGCCACAGUAUGGCUCAGUCUAAGAAGCCGGUCACAAAAAGGACAUAUAUAAUAUGAUUCCAUUUAUAGGAAAUGUGCAGAAUAAGCAAAUUCUUAGAGGCAGAUUGUUGCUCAAUGGUCUCUUAGGGCCGGGAGGAAUAGUGAGACUGGGGGACCAUGGUUGAAAGGGCUGCGUCUUUUUGGGGAAUAAUGAAAAUAUUGUAGUAUUGAUUGUGGUGGUGCUUGCACAGUCCCCCAAACCAUUGAAUUGUAUAGUUUAAAUAGGUGAAUUAUAUGGCAUAUGAAUUAUAUUUCCAUAAAGUUGCCCCCCCCGCUAAAAAAAGUUUGAAGCCCCCCAGGAGAGGGUGCUGCCCCAGGCGCAAGGGUUUCUGUGUUUUCGAAUUGUCUUCCUCCCACCAGGUGUACAGAAAGCAGCCCCUGAUGAGCAGUUUUCAAGUCCUAGAGAUUCCACGGGCUUCGGCUACCAUCUCCCUGAGCGCCUUCCAGUAGGUCUGCUGUCCUGGCUGGACUUCAGUGGCCCUGUCGUCAGGGUGAACAGCUCACGGAGCAGAUGCCUCUAAGGGUCUUCUGAGCCCAUCACUGGAGACCAGCGUUGCAUGGCCGGCACCUGCCCAGCGCCCUGGAGGCGGGACAGGAAGAGACACAGGGCUCAGGAGGCAGGCGGUGGACUCAGACGCCUGCUGCUCUGCCCGGCCACAUCCGGCCCCCUUGCCUUUUACUGCAUUUUAAUUAAGUUGUUGAAUCAGAUGGGCACCAGGAAUCUGUAGGCUGUAACAGCCGGGGCAGGAACAGAAGCCUUGGAGCGGAACUAAACCAACAAAGUCUGCCUCUUGAGCAGAUCCAGGAGCCCCAGUCUUGCCGAAGGGCGUCUCUCAGGCGGGGAGAUGGGGGGCCCCCCUGCUCGGCCGGACCGAAGGAGAAGCUUGGCUCUGGGCCUGAGAGCCAUGGCCUGGGUCGUGAGCCACACUGGCGUUUUCUGGUGGCCUUGGCCUGGCCUGACUCCCAGCUCCAGCCCUAUCCCAGAGGUUCUGAGCGCUCCGCCACCCCCGGGCUCUGUCUUCCCAUCCUUGUCUUGUGGGUUGGAAAUUAAUCCUCGGUGGCGAAGGUCAUAAUGUCCUUGAAGCUGGGAGAGAAGGCGAGAGGGUCCUAGGACCACGCAGAGGUCAGCAGUGCCCAACAGAGUCUAGAAUGGUGGAAAGAACCAGAAAAAAGAAGUUCCCGCUGUGGCUCAGUGGUAACGAAUCUGACCAGUAUCCAUGAGGAUGAGGGUUCAGUCCCUCGCCCCGCUCAGUAGGUUAAGGAUCUGGAGUUGCUAUGAGCUGUAGCGUCGAUUGCAGACGUGGCUUGGAUCUGGUGUUGCUGUGGCUGUGGCAUAAGCUGGCAGCUGUAGCUCUGAUUCGACCCCUAGCCUGGGAACCUCCAUCUGCUGUGAGUGCAGCCCUAAAAAGACAAAAACAGGAGUUCCUGUCGUGGCUCAGUGGUUAAUGAAUCUGACGAGGAACCAUGAGGUUUCGGGUUAGAUCCCUGGCCUCGCUCAGUGAGUUAAGGAUCCGCUGUUGCUGUGAGCUGUGGUGUGGGGGUCACAGACGCAGCUCGGAUCCCGCAUUGCUGUGGCUCUGGUGUAGGCUGGCAGCUGUAGCUCAGAUGGGACCCCUAGCCUAGGAACCUCCACAUGCCAUGGGUGCAGCCCUAGAAAAGACAAAAGUAAAUAAAUAAAUAUUAAAAAAUAAAGACAAAAACAAAACAAACAAAAAAGAACUGGAAAAAAAAAAGGUUGACGCUGAGAUGAUUCCAAAAAGGAUAUUUGCUCACAGGAGUGGGGAAAUACACACGGCAUCACAGACGUGCAACAGGAUUAGACUUGCUGGACUAGAUGGCAUCGCUGAAAACAGUUCUACUAGGUCCAGUCCAGUGGGGGAUGAGGGCACAGAGAAGUCAGCCCAGAGUUCUGCCCUUGCGGAGCUUGGUACCCAGGGAGAGAGACAUAGGAACCCGCAAAGAGGGUGCUUUGGGAAACAGAUGGGGGCGGACGGAGCAGCAGCCUUAGGGAGAGAGGCGGUCUGCCAAGGUCUUUGCCAAGAACGUGAUGCUUGAGUUGGUCUCUAAGGAUGAGCAGGAUGCAGACAGGGAGUGAGAGGAAAGGAAGCUCAUUUCAGACAGUGGGAACAGCAUGUGCAAAGGCAGGGAAGUGCAAGUGCUCGGCCCCCUGGGAGCCCUGUAAACAAUGAUGGGGCAGCUAGAACAGAACGUGAGAAUUAUUAGAGAAGGUCAGAAUUAGGGCUGCACCAGGAAGGACCAUGCAUGACCUUGGAAAGCCCUUCAUCUUGCCAUUCAGAGGAUGUAAUCAACUUAGCUUAAAUCCAUAAGUCGGGCUGGUCGAGGUGGCUAGCAAGUCAGGCUCCGGACAGAUGUGUUCACAGCCUGAUGCGUGCAGCCAUCAGUGACCUUACAACGCUAUGCACCAACUGUGUUAACUCACAGAUGCUUCCUGGGCCGCCAUGGGUACUGUGGUGUGUGCGCAUGAAGGGAUACAGUCCUGAGCUCGGGCUGCUUGCUUGUUGAACAAGACAAAAAAAAAAAAAAAAUGUUCAAAUGGCUAAUUAAAAUGCAUUUCCCUGCCAGGUGAGUAACGCAGGAUUGUAAGCAUCCAGGAAAAGUCAGUGAGAGCUGGAAGGUCAAGGGCAUUAAUCUGGAGGAGUGGGAUUGGAAUUAGGCUGUGAACAAAAGCAGGAUUGAAACAGUCGGGGAGAGGCAUCUCCUUGUAGCCCAGCCGGUUCAGGAUCCGGCCUUGUCACUGCAGAGUCUCAGGCUGCUGCUGUGGUGACAUUUCCAUCCCUGGCUGGGGAACUUCUGCA
This 3589-nucleotide long non-coding RNA is filed under the name Sus scrofa (pig). Its description in RNAcentral is "lncRNA (ENSSSCG00050036805.1)". The record is from RNAcentral. Lineage: Eukaryota; Metazoa; Chordata; Mammalia; Artiodactyla; Suidae.